RNAcentral lists this small RNA (26 nucleotides) under Bombyx mori (domestic silkworm). Its description in RNAcentral is "ovarian small RNA-10617". Lineage: Eukaryota; Metazoa; Arthropoda; Insecta; Lepidoptera; Bombycidae. The record is from RNAcentral.
AAGGAACAUACAUCAAAGAAGACUAU